GGACGUUGGUGCUGCCGCUGCUGCCACCCGCUGCAAAAAGUCAAUAUAGAGCAUUGAGUUUAUGUAUAUAUGUAAGUGCAUGUAUAGAGGGCAGUAAGAGAG
Molecule: long non-coding RNA, 102 nt
Organism: Drosophila navojoa
Lineage: Eukaryota; Metazoa; Arthropoda; Insecta; Diptera; Drosophilidae
Source: RefSeq, a predicted model, not a curated record